UUUUUUUUUUCCUAUGUCCCUUUGCUGGCUUGCUCCACUUUCCUCCUUUUCACUUUGAUCUCAGAAAACAAUGUGUUUUCGUCUUUUGCUAAUACAUUUGUCAUUUUACAUUCUCACUUCCAAGAGCUCAUGGAUUAUUUUGGUUUUAAGUAAGUAUACUCCAAAAGAUGUAUCAUUAAUCCUGUUCUUUAACCAAAACUCUAUAGACAUGUUCUCAAUUUCUUUUUUUAAGUAACUGAUUUAUUUACUUGAGAAAGAGAGAGGGAGAACACAUGAGCAGGGGGAAGGGUAGAUGGAGAGAAACUCAAGAUUUCCUAAUGAGCACAGAGCCUGACCCAGGGCUUGAGCUCAUGACCCUGAGAUUGUGACCUGAGCCAAAAUCAAGAGUUGGCACUUAACCUACUGAGCCACCCAAGCCCCACAACAUGUUCUCAAUUUCUAAUUGAAUUGUCUUUUCCAUAGAUAACAUACUUUUCUUUCAUACUUGGUUAAUCAUUACCAUGUCUCAAAAGUGUUUUAGCUCAUCCCUAUCUUUACCACAUUGGGGAAGAUGACAAAUUCUCAACUGUUUGCUUAAAAUAUGUCUUUUGGAUUGGGGAUAGUUGACAAACAGGCCCAGUAUGAGACUGAAUGCAAAAUCUAAAGACCUUCCCUACCCCAAAAGCAUAGAUAUAAAUAUGUUUAAGUGCAAUAGUGGCUCCAGGAGGACACUGCGAUCUGAAUGCUUUACUCUUUUUAAGGCAAUAGGAAGCAUUUAAUUAAGUUUCAUUAUGUCUGAGACAGUGUUACUUACAGUUCUACCUCAGGUCCUCUUUUUUUCUCUCUCAACACUGCUUGGUUAAUCUUGUCCAUUCCUACACUUACAUGUAGAUUCUUUCAUUCAACAUACGUAUUGAGUCCAGGUACUACUGUAAUUACUAGUGAUAGUACAUAGCACUAUAGUACAGUACUAUAGAAAUACUACAGUAAAUAUAGGUGGUGAAAUGCAUAGGAAGGGAGGCAAAACUUAAUUUCUGUAAAGAACAUCUAUGUUGCAGGAGCAGCUAGGGCAAAAACCCUAAAAUGGAUAAAAGCUUGGCAUAUUCUAAAGCAAGGAGAAACCUAGAGAAGUUUGGCCCUAGUGACAGAAAAUAAUUAUAUGAAAUGACGUCAGACAUCUAGCUAGC
RNAcentral lists this long non-coding RNA (1166 nucleotides) under Canis lupus familiaris (dog). Its description in RNAcentral is "lncRNA (ENSCAFG00000053953.1)". Lineage: Eukaryota; Metazoa; Chordata; Mammalia; Carnivora; Canidae. The record is from RNAcentral.